CCUGGUGGCUCAGAGGGUAAAGCAUCUGCCUCCAAUGCAGGAGACCCAGGUUCGAUCCCUGGGUCAGGA
This 69-nucleotide transfer RNA is filed under the name Ovis aries (sheep). It matches the Rfam family "tRNA". Rfam says of the family: Transfer RNA (tRNA) molecules are approximately 80 nucleotides in length. Their secondary structure includes four short double-helical elements and three loops (D, anti-codon, and T loops). Further hydrogen bonds mediate the characteristic L-shaped molecular structure. tRNAs have two regions of fundamental functional importance: the anti-codon, which is responsible for specific mRNA codon recognition, and the 3' end, to which the tRNAs corresponding amino acid is attached (by aminoacyl-tRNA synthetases). tRNAs cope with the degeneracy of the genetic code in two manners: having more than one tRNA (with a specific anti-codon) for a particular amino acid; and 'wobble' base-pairing, i.e. permitting non-standard base-pairing at the 3rd anti-codon position. The record is from Rfam by way of RNAcentral. Lineage: Eukaryota; Metazoa; Chordata; Mammalia; Artiodactyla; Bovidae.